GCGUGGGUGGCUCAAUUGGUUAAGCUUCUGACUUUGGCUCAGGUCAUGAUCUCAUGGUUUGUGGGUUCGAGCCCUGCCUCAGGCU
RNAcentral lists this transfer RNA (85 nucleotides) under Felis catus (domestic cat). It matches the Rfam family "tRNA". From Rfam's summary of the family: Transfer RNA (tRNA) molecules are approximately 80 nucleotides in length. The record is from Rfam by way of RNAcentral. Lineage: Eukaryota; Metazoa; Chordata; Mammalia; Carnivora; Felidae.